This 2816-nucleotide ribosomal RNA is filed under the name Klebsiella pneumoniae. Its description in RNAcentral is "partial 23S ribosomal RNA". It matches the Rfam family "Bacterial large subunit ribosomal RNA". Lineage: Bacteria; Pseudomonadati; Pseudomonadota; Gammaproteobacteria; Enterobacterales; Enterobacteriaceae. The record is from RNAcentral.
GGUUAAGCGACUAAGCGUACACGGUGGAUGCCCUGGCAGUCAGAGGCGAUGAAGGACGUGCUAAUCUGCGAAAAGCGUCGGUAAGGUGAUAUGAACCGUUAUAACCGGCGAUGUCCGAAUGGGGAAACCCAGUGCAAUUCGUUGCACUAUCGUUAACUGAAUACAUAGGUUAACGAGGCGAACCGGGGGAACUGAAACAUCUAAGUACCCCGAGGAAAAGAAAUCAACCGAGAUUCCCCCAGUAGCGGCGAGCGAACGGGGAGCAGCCCAGAGUCUGAAUCAGCUUGUGUGUUAGUGGAACGGUCUGGAAAGUCCGACGGUACAGGGUGAUAGUCCCGUACACCAAAAUGCACAGGCUGUGAACUCGAAGAGUAGGGCGGGACACGUGGUAUCCUGUCUGAAUAUGGGGGGACCAUCCUCCAAGGCUAAAUACUCCUGACUGACCGAUAGUGAACCAGUACCGUGAGGGAAAGGCGAAAAGAACCCCGGCGAGGGGAGUGAAAAAGAACCUGAAACCGUGUACGUACAAGCAGUGGGAGCACCUUCGGGUGUGACUGCGUACCUUUUGUAUAAUGGGUCAGCGACUUAUAUUCUGUAGCAAGGUUAACCGUAUAGGGGAGCCGCAGGGAAACCGAGUCUUAACUGGGCGUUAAGUUGCAGGGUAUAGACCCGAAACCCGGUGAUCUAGCCAUGGGCAGGUUGAAGGUUGGGUAACACUAACUGGAGGACCGAACCGACUAAUGUUGAAAAAUUAGCGGAUGACUUGUGGCUGGGGGUGAAAGGCCAAUCAAACCGGGAGAUAGCUGGUUCUCCCCGAAAGCUAUUUAGGUAGCGCCUCGUGAACUCAUCUUCGGGGGUAGAGCACUGUUUCGGCUAGGGGGUCAUCCCGACUUACCAACCCGAUGCAAACUACGAAUACCGAAGAAUGUUAUCACGGGAGACACACGGCGGGUGCUAACGUCCGUCGUGAAGAGGGAAACAACCCAGACCGCCAGCUAAGGUCCCAAAGUCAUGGUUAAGUGGGAAACGAUGUGGGAAGGCACAGACAGCCAGGAUGUUGGCUUAGAAGCAGCCAUCAUUUAAAGAAAGCGUAAUAGCUCACUGGUCGAGUCGGCCUGCGCGGAAGAUGUAACGGGGCUAAACCAUGCACCGAAGCUGCGGCAGCGACACUAUGUGUUGUUGGGUAGGGGAGCGUUCUGUAAGCCUGCGAAGGUGUGCUGUGAGGCAUGCUGGAGGUAUCAGAAGUGCGAAUGCUGACAUAAGUAACGAUAAAGCGGGUGAAAAGCCCGCUCGCCGGAAGACCAAGGGUUCCUGUCCAACGUUAAUCGGGGCAGGGUGAGUCGACCCCUAAGGCGAGGCCGAAAGGCGUAGUCGAUGGGAAACAGGUUAAUAUUCCUGUACUUGGUGUUACUGCGAAGGGGGGACGGAGAAGGCUAUGUUAGCCGGGCGACGGUUGUCCCGGUUUAAGCAUGUAGGCUGGUUAUCCAGGCAAAUCCGGAUAAUCAAGGCUGAGGUGUGAUGACGAGGCACUACGGUGCUGAAGUAACAAAUGCCCUGCUUCCAGGAAAAGCCUCUAAGCAUCAGGUAACAUCAAAUCGUACCCCAAACCGACACAGGUGGUCAGGUAGAGAAUACCAAGGCGCUUGAGAGAACUCGGGUGAAGGAACUAGGCAAAAUGGUGCCGUAACUUCGGGAGAAGGCACGCUGGUGUGUAGGUGAAGUCCCUGCGGAUGGAGCUGAGACCAGUCGAAGAUACCAGCUGGCUGCAACUGUUUAUUAAAAACACAGCACUGUGCAAACACGAAAGUGGACGUAUACGGUGUGACGCCUGCCCGGUGCCGGAAGGUUAAUUGAUGGGGUUAUCCGUAAGGAGAAGCUCUUGAUCGAAGCCCCGGUAAACGGCGGCCGUAACUAUAACGGUCCUAAGGUAGCGAAAUUCCUUGUCGGGUAAGUUCCGACCUGCACGAAUGGCGUAAUGAUGGCCAGGCUGUCUCCACCCGAGACUCAGUGAAAUUGAACUCGCUGUGAAGAUGCAGUGUACCCGCGGCAAGACGGAAAGACCCCGUGAACCUUUACUAUAGCUUGACACUGAACAUUGAGCCUUGAUGUGUAGGAUAGGUGGGAGGCUUUGAAGCGUGGACGCCAGUCUGCGUGGAGCCAACCUUGAAAUACCACCCUUUAAUGUUUGAUGUUCUAACGUUGGCCCCUGACCGGGGUUGCGGACAGUGUCUGGUGGGUAGUUUGACUGGGGCGGUCUCCUCCCAAAGCGUAACGGAGGAGCACGAAGGUUAGCUAAUCCUGGUCGGACAUCAGGAGGUUAGUGCAAUGGCAUAAGCUAGCUUGACUGCGAGCGUGACGGCGCGAGCAGGUGCGAAAGCAGGUCAUAGUGAUCCGGUGGUUCUGAAUGGAAGGGCCAUCGCUCAACGGAUAAAAGGUACUCCGGGGAUAACAGGCUGAUACCGCCCAAGAGUUCAUAUCGACGGCGGUGUUUGGCACCUCGAUGUCGGCUCAUCACAUCCUGGGGCUGAAGUAGGUCCCAAGGGUAUGGCUGUUCGCCAUUUAAAGUGGUACGCGAGCUGGGUUUAGAACGUCGUGAGACAGUUCGGUCCCUAUCUGCCGUGGGCGCUGGAGAAUUGAGGGGGGCUGCUCCUAGUACGAGAGGACCGGAGUGGACGCAUCACUGGUGUUCGGGUUGUCAUGCCAAUGGCACUGCCCGGUAGCUAAAUGCGGAAGAGAUAAGUGCUGAAAGCAUCUAAGCACGAAACUUGCCCCGAGAUGAGUUCUCCCUGAGACUAUAAGUCUCCUGAAGGAACGUU